GCAUAUCAAUAAGCGAAGGAAAAGAAAAUAACAAUGAUUCCCCUAGUAACUGCGAGUGAAGAGGGACAAGCUCAAAUUUUAAAUCUAUCGGGUUUUACCUGAUCGAGUUGUAAUUUGAAGAUGGCGUUUUCUGUGUUUCUGAUCAGUCCAAGUCCUUUGGGAUAAGGCAUCAUGGAGGGUGAGAAUCCCGUUCGGUUGAUCAGAUUCGCUUUACGAUACGUUAUCAAAGAGUCAAGUUGUUUGGGAUUGCAGCUUAAAAUGGGAGGUAAAUUUCUCCUAAGGCUAAAUAACGGCGAGAGACCGAUAGCGAACAAGUACCGUGAGGGAAAGAUGAAAAGAACUUUGAAAAGAGAGUUAAACAGUACGUGAAAUUGUUGAAAGGGAAACGAUUGAAGCCAGUCGUACCUUCGGGUAAUCAGCCUUUUGGGUGUGAUUUUGUGGAGCGUGAAGAGUUAAACGCCUUCAUGCCUGCAUAUUCGUGCACUUGGGGGGUACUUGCCCGUAGGGUUGGUUAACAUCAAUUUUGGGGGUCAUAAAAGGACGGGAGGAAGGUAGCUUGGAUCUUGUAUGGAAGUGUUAUAGCCUUCGGUAGAUGUGAUGAUCGAGAUUGAGGAUGGCAACGGAUACCCUUCGGGGCUACCUGUCUGGUCUCUGAUGG
This 658-nucleotide ribosomal RNA is filed under the name uncultured fungus. RNAcentral describes it as "LSU rRNA". It matches the Rfam family "Eukaryotic large subunit ribosomal RNA", at positions 38 to 647 of the family's 3401-position model. Lineage: Eukaryota; Fungi. The record is from RNAcentral.